Rattus norvegicus (Norway rat) is the source of this 3870-nucleotide long non-coding RNA. RefSeq lists it as uncharacterized. Lineage: Eukaryota; Metazoa; Chordata; Mammalia; Rodentia; Muridae. The record is from RefSeq and is a predicted model, not a curated record.
CUAAUCGGAUCACAUGAUGAAUGAGGCUGCUGGGCCCUGGGACCCAUCAGAUACGUAAUACUGAGCUCUCCGGGCCACCGUAACUCCUGCUGGUGAGGAGCCUGUUUACGCCAUGAGGAACCCGUCCGGCCCCCUCCUCAAAAAAGAAAAAGAGGGUGAAGGUGCUUUUGUUUUGAAAGCCAUCCUAAGAUGCCCUCCACAGGAUUGUGACUUCGCAUAGGGCCCUUUGAUUUGUGACUGACAACCUCUGAUUUUUGAGCACUUCAUUUUUAUCAGUUUCCAGUUUCCACAGGUCCCACAGGUUAGCGUUGAAGUUGAGCUGGGCUAAGAACAAAGAUUUGGCCUCCCUGUUUGGCUUCGUUGAUUAAAAUGUAAAACCAAGUAAGAUGGCAGAACAAUAGGGGUCCCGGCCGCCUUUUGGGACCGGCUAAACCUUUAUUCUACAGUUCGGGCAGCAGCCGCGCCUCCUUUUGUCCCACCGUACACCAGUUGGCUCAGUGACUUCAGAGGGAGGGCUCCAGCUGUAUGCAAAGUGCAGGGUCGAAGGUGGAGGCCAGGGAGAAGGGUGCUGUGUGCAGAACUAGAUUUCCAUAUCAAUAGCCGCCCAUUCCGUCUGUCUGUCUUUUUCUUCCCCACUUCUGCUGGCUUCCAAACUCUGUAUCGAAGGAUGACCUUGAACGUGCUGUCCCCGAGCCCGAAUCUCCCCACCCCCGCCUCCCAAGUGCUGAGAUUACAGGUUUAAGUCACAACUCCCAGUUUUGGAUGAUCUUAUUCUCAAAGGAGCUUGUAAAACGGGCGGAUUUGUUCACAGGAUGUCUGAACGAGGGACUCCCAAACGGGGGACUCCCAGAUAGAGGGAAAGUGACUUGUCUAGGAUCCAUGGCUACUAACCAGUAGAAUGGGGACACCUUCCAGAGACUCUCAUAUAGUCUUGUCCCACAACUGCGGGCUCAGCACAACUCCUCAGAGCAUGUGUGGCCUGAGGCUGCCAAGGCUGGAGAGCACAGAUCCUCUUAGAUGUAUUUUUUUUUCUUUUUUUUUUUUUUUCCGGAGUUGGGGACCGAACCCAGGGCCUUGCGCUCGCUAGGCAAGCGCUCUACCGCUGAGCUAAAUCCCCAACCCUUUUUUUUUUUUUUUAAAGAGGUAACUCUUUAAAAAAAAAAAAGAUUUAUUUAUGUAUAUGAGUACACUGUCACCUAGAAAAGGGCACCAGAUCCCAUCACAGAUGGUUUUUCUGGGAUUUGAACUCAGGACCUCUGGAAAAGCAGUGCUCUUAACCGCUGAGCCAUCUCUCCAGCCCCAAACUUUUUUUUUUUUUAAACCGUUGCUUCUACUCUCUUCAUUCCUCCUCUCUAUAAAAAUAUCCUCUGCUCAGCCCUCCAGACUCUCAUUCAAUUUGUGGAAUGAAGUAUUGUCUAACUGUAGAAGAGAAAAACAAACAGGACAAGCCACCAAGCUGUGGUAGUUUUGUCCUCUGACAGAGGUUAGACAGAAGCCCCUGCUCACCUGUGUAGUGCCUAUACCCCAACUGCAGGACGACAGAGUGGCUUGUUCCGGUUCAGGGAAUGAUGGUGGUUUGAGUGAGAGUGUCCUCCCUAGGCGAAAUGUUUGGUCUCUAGUUGGUGAAACUGGGAAGAAUUAGAAGGUGUGGCUUUGUUGGGCGAGGUGUGUUACUGGAAAUAGGCUUUGAGGUUUCAAAUGGCCACAAUUAGCGCUCUCUCUCUCUCUCUCUCUCUCUCUCUCUCUCUCUCUCUCCCACCUCCCCUCCCCCUUCCUUUCUCCCUCUCCUUCUGCCUCCUACUUGUGGAUCAGUUAUAAGCUCUUAGCUACUACUCAGCCAUCAUGAUCAGAAACUCUAACUCCGAGAGACGGCUCAGUGGUUAAGAUCACUGACUGCUCUUCCAGAGGUCCUGAGUUCAAUUUCCAGCAACCACAUGGUGGCUUACAACCAUCUGUAAUGGGAUCUGAUGCCCUCUUCUGGUGCGUCUGAAGACAGCUACAGUGUAUGCAUAUAAAAAAAGAAAAAGAGAAACUAACUUCUUGGAAGCGUGAGUCCUCAGAUUGAAUCUUUAUUCUAUCUAUCUAUCUAUCUAUCUAUCUAUCUAUCUAUCUAUCUAUCUAUCCAUUCAUCCAUCCAUCCAUCUAGAUAUUUUUAGGUAGGUAGGUAGGUAGGGGUUUUCCAGAACAGAGUUUCUUUGUGUGGUCCUGGCUGUCCUGGGACUUGAUCUGUAGACCAGGCUGGCCUCAAACUCAAAGAGAUACAACCUGCACUUGCCUCCCAUUAGCAUCAAAGGUGUGCACCACCAUUGCCCAACUUUUGUUUUUGUUUUUUUUUUUUUUUUUUCUUUUUUCUUUUUUUUUUUGGAGCUGGGGACCAAACUCAGGGCCUUGCGCUUGCUAGGUGAGUGCUCUACCACUGAGCUAAAUUCCCAACCCCACUGCCCAACUUUUUUUUUUUUUUUCUUUUUCUCGGAGCUGGGGACCGAACCCAGGGCCUUGCACUUGCUAGGCAAGCGCUCUACCACUGAGCUAAAUCCCCAACCCAAAGGGUAUACUGGAAGGUUUUUGUUUUUUUGUUUUUUUUGUUUUUUUGUUUUGGUUCUUUUUUUUUGGAGCUGGGGACCGAACCCAGGGCCUUGCGCUUCCUAGGUAAGCGCUCUACCACUGAGCUAAAUCCCCAGCCCCCAACUUUUUAAAAUCUUUUUUUUUUUUUCUGGUCAUGGCAUUUGUCACAGCAGUAGAAAAGUAAUUAAAACAGGUACAAGCCGGAAAUGAGGAACGGUGCCAAAUGGGGAAUUGGAAGUGCAAGGCCAUCCCCUGCUAGGUGCAGUGUUCAAAGCCAGCCUGAUAGACUUGAUACCCUGUCUCAAGUAAACAAACAACAAAAGGGGCCUCUGGGCUGGAGCGAUGGCUCAGUGGUUAAGAACACAGGCUGUUCUUCCCCAGGAGCCAGGUUCAGUUCCCACACGGUGGAUCAUACCCGUCUGUAACUCUCAGCCUACGGAUCCUAGGGCUUGUGUGACCUCUGAGGGCACCCGGCACACACGAAAGAGAAAUGAAAUGGCCACCCCUGUGCAGAGUGUGAAGAGCAUGUGCUGUUCCCUGGUCUCCUGGGCUUCAGACCUGCGAUGCCACCUGCUCUGUGAGGCAGAGCUGAGACUGUGAGCUGUGCUCGCUAAGCAACCUGGGAUUGCUCAGACAGCCCUGCUGAGGCCUUUCUCUUUGGAGGAAGAGUCCACUAAAUCUCACACUGAAAUGGUCUUCGUGAUGCUGGCUUCAGCGAGCCCCAGCCUGCUUGGAGACUGUGGUGCUGGGGACUUCAAGAGCCUUACCAGACUCACUAGAUGCAAAUCCUCGUGUCUACCCAGACUCACUGACUAGGGGAGUCCUGUAGGAGACAUCAAAACUUGACAGAUGCUAAGAGCUAUUAACGCCUUCCUUGGAAUGAGGAGCAGAAGAAGGUGUGGUGAUUGCAGAAACCCUCCUUAGGAGAAGCCAAAAGCCGGUCUCCUGACUUGCAGAUCAUUCCUCACCAACUUUCAAGUGGUCAAGGGUUGGGAGUGUCAUUCGGGGAUAGAGCACGGACCUGGUGCUGGAGGCUGUUGGGAAAAAGAAAUCUAGAACAGAAGAAAAACUAAAACCCCGGGAGGUUUAGUGAUGGAGCCAAAGGGGUCACACGACCACCAGGAAUUUGUUCUGUGUUUUGAAUGCGGUAAAGAUUUUAUACGCAACGUCUGGUUUAUUUGGUACACGUCUUUGUUUUUACACAGGCUCUCUGUGUAGCCCUGGCUAGCCUGAAACUAUGUAGAUCAGGCUCCCCACGUGCUGGGAUUAAAGGUGUGCCCCACUGUGCCUGGCACAAUAUCUUUU